This 429-nucleotide ribosomal RNA is filed under the name uncultured archaeon. Its description in RNAcentral is "bacterial SSU rRNA". It matches the Rfam family "Archaeal small subunit ribosomal RNA", at positions 1 to 394 of the family's 1478-position model. The record is from RNAcentral.
UUCGCCCUUUUCCGGUUGAUCCCGCCGGACCCCACUGCUAUCGGGAUAGGACUAAGACAUGCUAGUCGUGCGUCUCCUAGCUAUGUUGGAGGCGCGGCACACAGCUCAGUAACACGUGGCUAACCUGCCCUUGGGACGAAAACACCCCCGGGAAACUGGGGUUAAUUUUCGAUAGGUGAAGACUCCUGGAAUGGUUUUUUGCUGAAAAGGCGUUUGGAGCAUGCUUCUAAGCGUUGCCCAAGGAUGGGGCCGCGGCCGAUCAGGUUGUUGGUGAGGUAAUGGCUCACCAAGCCUUUUACCGGUACGGGCCGUGGGAGCGGUAGCCCGGAGAUGGGCACUGAAACAAGGGCCCAGGCCCUACGGGGCGCAGCAGUCGCGAAAACUCCGCAAUAAGCGAAAGCUUGACGGGGCUAUCCCGAGUGCCGUCUG